UCUCCUGGAAACGGGUGGUAAUGCCGGAUGCUCCAGCUGACCGCAUGGUCUGUUGGGAAAGCUUUCGCGGUAUGGGAUGGGGUCGCGUCCUAUCAGCUUGACGGCGGGGUAACGGCCCACCGUGGCUUCGACGGGUAGCCGGCCUGAGAGGGCGACCGGCCACAUUGGGACUGAGAUACGGCCCAGACUCCUACGGGAGGCAGCAGUGGGGAAUAUUGCACAAUGGGCGCAAGCCUGAUGCAGCGACGCCGCGUGAGGGAUGGAGGCCUUCGGGUUGUAAACCUCUUUUAUCGGGGAGCAAGCGAGAGUGAGUUUACCCGUUGAAUAAGCACCGGCUAACUACGUGCCAGCAGCCGCGGUAAUACGUAGGGUGCAAGCGUUAUCCGGAAUUAUUGGGCGUAAAGGGCUCGUAGGCGGUUCGUCGCGUCCGGUGUGAAAGUCCAUCGCUUAACGGUGGAUCCGCGCCGGGUACGGGCGGGCUUGAGUGCGGUAGGGGAGACUGGAAUUCCCGGUGUAACGGUGGAAUGUGUAGAUAUCGGAAAAGAACACCA
Molecule: ribosomal RNA, 551 nt
Filed under: Bifidobacterium longum subsp. infantis
Lineage: Bacteria; Bacillati; Actinomycetota; Actinomycetes; Bifidobacteriales; Bifidobacteriaceae
Description: bacterial SSU rRNA
Rfam family: Bacterial small subunit ribosomal RNA
Source: RNAcentral